ACUGGGCUGAGUUUGUGGCGCGCUUAGUGAUGGGAUGGCCCUGUGCAGGACGCCGACACGAAAAGAUGAAGAGUUCAAUCCGUGCUGUCUGAACUCACAGUGUAGCAGGCGAGAUAGACGGGAAGAUCGGUAGGGUGGGAGAUGCCGGAAAGGCUUCCCGUGAGACUGGAUAAGAAAUCAAAAAUCUGGUGAAAUUGCCGGCAAGAGGGAGUUAAGGACAUUCCAGGCAGAGGCAAGGUAAAGGCGCGGUGGGAGUGGGUCACUGUGAUAAAAGUCUGAAAAGGACAUUUGGGGGCUCUCUUGGGUGAGAGGCAGUGCCUCAUGUCCCCCCUUCAGUGCUCGUUGAGCAUUCAAUUAAAAUGUUAACACUUUGUAGCCAAACAAGUUCUCUUUUUAAGAGGAAAACCCUGGAUUUCCAAACGGCUCAUUUUCUGUAGCUUCUUGCAAAUGGAUACCACCACCAGCUGUGCCUAGUGAAAAAA
This 482-nucleotide long non-coding RNA is filed under the name Homo sapiens (human). RNAcentral describes it as "HSALNT0327632". Lineage: Eukaryota; Metazoa; Chordata; Mammalia; Primates; Hominidae. The record is from RNAcentral.